UGUGCUGGCUGUGCGUGGAACCACACGAGGGUUCUCCUCUGCAUCACAGCCGUCCAUCUGAGGCUUCUCUCAUGAUGGUGAGCCGUUGACUGGAUAUUUCGGAGGUCAACAAUUUAUUUGCUUCCAAAAUGGUAAUGAUGUGCCCAAUUUAUUAUUGGCCAUUAAUCGUAAUUAAAGAUGAUAUUAUUUUUGGUAAAAAUGGCUCAGCCGUUAAUAUCGGAGGAACAGUUUCGUAAAAGGAAAUCGAACUGAUCAACUCCAAUCAUUCACCGUCACAGAUUAUCUCAUUCUGCGCACAUCGCGAGGAAUUUUAGAUGCUUUGUAAAGGUGGAAGAUUCGUGUGAUCGAGUGUGAAUUUUUAAUAUAUGAAGAUGGAGGAUGCAGAAUCCCCAAUUGUCGAGCAGAUUCCACACCUGCAAGCACGAGAGAGGGAGUAAGGAUGAGAUGCGACGACAACGAUAUCAAAGCUUUCUGGCCUUCUCAUCGGAAGAAGACGGUCACAAAGCAAACACUAGGAUCCACAUGAUGCAUCAGAAGGAGAGAAACACCUUGCGCUGAUGAGCCCAAAGGCCCUUGACUUAUGCAUUCAAAGCGCUUGAUAUAUUGCCCCACAUAGCUCAAAGAGAGGAACAGCAUCGACCUCGGAGCUAGCCAAAACCACGGCUUGCAACAAGGUGCAGCUGAAGAGGAUAGGGGUCAAAUCUAUGAACUAGCCACAUCCGGGCACUUAAUCUAUUCAGAACAUUGAUGACAUGUUUCACAAUCAUUCAAGGACAAUGGAAGGUUUGAUUGGGAGGUACAAGGUGGUGUACUUGAGAAGUUCAUCCAACUGCAGGUGGAACCUCAAUUACAACAGAUAUUCAAGUUGAAGCAUGAGAUUCUUCUUCUGCACAAGAGUGACAAGGUAAUUACAAAGUCAGAUGCAUCGGUGCACAUCAUAUACAGGUACAUUUCUAUGUUGUUAUUUAUAAAUAUACUUGUAUUGCUAUACAAAUCUAGAACACAUCCGAAAAGGCUGUGAUCAUUUGCAAAUAAUUCUUUUUUACUAUUCUCUAAAAGAAAGGAUAUACAAAUUAAUGUCUUGGAAUCAUUAACUACAUUUUCUAUCUUUUUUCAGAACUGUGUUCCUAUCUAAUUUAUUAUACUGACAGUCCAGGUAAUUAUCAUUACCCACAAAUUCAGUUUCUGCAUUGAGAGUAUUCAAUUAGUUUGAUAAGUUCACCAUGCAUUAGCUUGAGUUUUUCUUUUCUUUUCCCUUUGAACUGUCAUACAGAAAUCAUCAAGGUUCAUUUUGCGCAAUUGAAUAGAACAAUAUUUAUUUCGUAUGUGUGUCAAAAUAAGAACUGCAUUAUUAAUAUUCUCUUUUACGAGUACUUUGAGUUGUGCAGCUUGUCAGCCAAGUUCUUGUUUCUUAUAAAAAGGAUUAUUUCUUUUUUUGCUCAAGGACAAUCAAUGUAUUAUUCAUACAGGCACAUAUAAUGCAGUCCCUAUACUUGUAGUGUUUGAUGAUGAGUCCCUACAGAAUUAUUAUCUUCAUCUGAAUGUUGUAUUUCUUUUCUUCUUUAUGCAUGCUUCCAAUACAUAUUUCUGAUUUUUUUUUUUUUGCCUCUCAAAGAAGCUAUCUGUAAGCAUAUCAAUUAAUCUAAAAAUAUGUACACAGUCGCCAUGACAUUUUACAUCUAUAAUUGAAGGAUAUGUUUUAUGACAGAUACAUUGGAGGGGAACUGCUGAAUGUAUGAAACCGGAUGAAAUGCAUAUAUCUUGGAAAGGCAUCUCAACAUGAAUGUGUCAUAUCCAUGAUGUAAAGAUACUGGGGGAACAAGGACUCUGUUAUGCAACUCUUAUGACAGCUAACAUUCCACAUCCACCAAAUAUACAAAAUGAGUAUUAGGGCAGAGGGAAUUGAAGGGCCUGCAAUGGGUUUUCCUACUUAAAAAACUACUAGGAUUGGGUGACUUUGUAGGAUUGAGUUUGUCUAUGUUAUAGUCUUCAAGCAGCCAUGUAUUAGCUACUCUACACAUGAAUCACUCAUCUACAUGCUUCUGUGUUAUUCCAAAUAUACAAAUGAGUAUUAGGGCAGAGGGAAUUGAAGGGCCUGCAAUGGGUUUUCCUACUUAAAAAACUACUAGGAUUGGGUGACUUUGUAGGAAUGAGUUUGUCUAUGUUAUAGUCUUCAAGCAACUAUGUAUUAGCUACUCUACACUUGAAUCACUCAUCUAAAUGCUUCUGCGUUAUUCCAAAUGCUUGAAUGUCCCGCAAACUGUGUUCUAAGCUUCUAUUAUUUCAGUAUUCUGUGCUGUCUUCUCUACUCUGAUG
Molecule: long non-coding RNA, 2316 nt
Organism: Musa acuminata AAA Group (dessert banana)
Lineage: Eukaryota; Viridiplantae; Streptophyta; Magnoliopsida; Zingiberales; Musaceae
Exons: 4
Source: RefSeq, a predicted model, not a curated record